Cyprinus carpio carpio is the source of this 2262-nucleotide long non-coding RNA. The record is from Ensembl. Lineage: Eukaryota; Metazoa; Chordata; Actinopteri; Cypriniformes; Cyprinidae.
UAGUUGCUCUUAUUAUUGCUCUUGUAAGCCUUUAUUGUAUUUGAUGUAUACAGUUGUGCUGUUCAAUUUUGUAAUGCUGGCAGGACGUUUAUUUGUUACUGUUUUUACUAGUUUGUUUGCUGUAAGGUGACCUUGGGUUAUUAUUAUUAUUAUUAUUUAUUAUUAUCAUGUUGGUCAGAUGGCCGCUAUAUAUCUGAAAGGACCAUUCUUGACCAGAUUUAGCUACAAUAUGCACAAAAUUUAAUGCGAGUUAUUUGAUUAAAUUCAAGAGACUGUGAACAGAACUGAUUACUUUUAAAACUAAACAAUGCUGUUUAUUUUUUUUUUAUGCUUUUGACAAAGAGGAAACUCAGUUCAAUCAGAGACCAAAACUCUCCUGGCAGGAUGAUGUGGUAUUAGCGUCUUCUUCAACAUACAGUUCACUCAUGUCUACAUACAUGUAGUUUGAAUCCUCUUCAAAUAUGCAGGGGGACAUUGGGUAAUGUGAAAGUGACAAAAGUGAUGUGACGUGGCCAAGUAUGGUAACCCAUACUCGGAAUUAGUGCUCUGCAUUUAUCCCAUCCUAAGUACACACACACAGCAGUGAACACACACACACACCAUGAACACCAUGAGCGCUGUACAUUCACUCCCCCCACCUACAAUCUCUGCCGGUACAAGACUCGAACCUGCAACCUUUGGGUUACGAGUCCGACUUCCCCUGUGUUGAAUGUGUUGUGAAUGUGUGUUGAAUGUUUGACAGAGAAAUGGGCACAAAGAAGAUAUCCUGUGCAUUGCUCACUGCACACCGCAUCUCCUGGCCACUGGCAGCUACGAUGGGGAAAUCAUUGUAUGGAAUGUGGUGUCUGGACGCAUACAGUGUCGCUUCCAGACCCCUCAGUUUUAAAAGAGCAGCGGUACACAUAGUAUGCCAAUAUUUCUGUGAAUUUUUAAAUUAAAUAAUAAAAAAUCAUUACAAUUCUGCUGAUUUGUAAGGAGCCCCGCACAUGACAUGCAAGAAAAAUAAAUAAAUUGUGCACACAUUUUUUCCUGCUUGCCAUGUGCAGGGCUCCGUAGAUUCUCAAUCAAAUCUAUUGGAUGAAAACUUGGAAUACUGUGCACAAGUCAUAUAGACAUAAUGGACUUAGAUUUUGAAGUGAAAUAUCCAUUUAAAGAAACAGUUCACCCAAAAAUUAAAAUGUACUCACCCUCAGGCCAUCCAAAAUGUAGAGUUUGUUUCUUCAUUGGAACAGAUUUGGAGAAAUUUAGCAUUGCAUCUCUUGCACAAUGGGUCCACUGCAGUGAAUGGGUGCCGUCAAAAUGAGGGUCCAAACAGCUGAUAAAAACAUCACAAUAAUUCACAAGUAAGACACACAAUUAAUGUCAAUUAAUGUCUUGUAAAUUGAAAAGCUGUGUGUUUGCAAUAAACAAAUUUAUCAAGAUAUUUUUAACCUCAAACCAUUGCUUCUAGCUAAAAUAUGAGCCGAGCCAUAAUAUUGCUUUCUCCAGUUAAAAAUAAAAUAAAAAUAGUCUUGUCUGAAUUAGAAGAAAAAUACCAAAGACUAGAAUAUCCAAGACGGGUCACUCGUAUAGUUUUGAAUGGGAAAAAAUGCAACUUAUGUGUUGUUUAUUAUUUAACUGCAUACAAAAGGUUGAAACACAAGUGUGCUGAGCCUCAUCUUCCUAAAGACACGGGCAUUUGUUCCUGAAUUGUCCCCUUCUGCUUGGCUUGUAUCCUCAGGGUCUCAAGGUAAACUGGUCUUUGUGAUGAAUAAAAUCACAGAAAGAAGAAAAUCAGUUAAUAUAUGCAGAGCUUCUGAAUCUGAUUUCACUAAACAUAUUUAAUCUCUGUCAAAGGUAAUGUUAAUUUCUGAAGUGUUCUGAAUGGCGGGAAGUUCAUCACAUCUUUUCAGGCUGUAAGUAUCAAGUAUUUUAUCUUUCCUCAAGUUUGAUUAAAAAUUCAGUGCCAACAGAAUGAAGCAAAGGUUCUAAUUAAAGCUGUCUUCUUUUCAAGUCUUAACUUCAGCAGCAGAUUGCAAAACUGGCUUUAACCCGGGAUGACAGCAUGCUUUUUACAGCCGAUCAUGUCGGCUUCAUCUACAUUUACAAUGUCAAGCAAUACGCCCUGGGACCCGAACAAAACCCUCCGAAAAAGGUGAACUUCUGGCGUGCGUAUAUCAGCAGCAUCACUAGCUUGAAGAUAUUUGACAAGGACCAGUUUUUAAAAGCUCAGUUCGUCUUCGGAACACAAUUUAAGAUAUUUUGGAUGAAAAUCGGGAGGCC